AGAUGUGGGUUAGUCCCUUANNNAGCGCAACCCUUGUCGCUAGUUGCCANNAGUAAUGUCGGGGACUCUAGNGAGACUGCCGGUGUUAAACCGGAGGAAGGUGGGGAUGACGUCAAGUCCUCAUGGCCUUUAUGGCUAGGGCUGCACACGUCCUACAAUCCAANGUACAAAGCGAAGCGAGACCGCGAGGUGGAGCAAAUCGCAGAAAGCGUUGGUCAGUUCGGAUUGCAGNCUGCAACUCGCCUGCAUGAAGCUGGAAUCGCUAGUAAUCGCGGGUCAGNAUAC
RNAcentral lists this ribosomal RNA (285 nucleotides) under uncultured Planctomycetales bacterium. RNAcentral's name for it is "partial 16S ribosomal RNA". It matches the Rfam family "Bacterial small subunit ribosomal RNA", at positions 1070 to 1357 of the family's 1533-position model. Lineage: Bacteria; Pseudomonadati; Planctomycetota; Planctomycetia; Planctomycetales. The record is from RNAcentral.